AUUGAACGCUGCGGCAGGCUUAACACAUGCAAGUCGAGCGAGCGGCGGACGGGUGAGUAAUGCUUAUGAAUCUGCCUCUUAGUGGUGGACAACAUCUCGAAAUGGAUGCUAAUACCGCAUACUAAUAGCUUAGCCUAAGUCGGAUUAGCUAGUUGGUGGGGUAAAGGCCUACCAUGGCGAAGAUCUGUAGCGGGUCUGAGAGGAUGAUCCGCAAAACUGGGAAUGAGAAACGGCCCAGACUCCGACGGGAGGGAGAAGGGGGGAAUAUUGGCAAAUGGGGGGAAACCUGAUCCAGCCAUGCCGCGUGUGUGGAGAAGGCCUUAUGGUUGUAAAGAACUUUAAGCGAGGAGGCGUUACUCGCAGAAUAAGCACCGGCUAACUCCGUGCCAGCAGCCGCGGUAAUAC
RNAcentral lists this ribosomal RNA (405 nucleotides) under uncultured bacterium. Its description in RNAcentral is "partial 16S ribosomal RNA". It matches the Rfam family "Bacterial small subunit ribosomal RNA", at positions 30 to 526 of the family's 1533-position model. The record is from RNAcentral.